Molecule: ribosomal RNA, 495 nt
Filed under: uncultured bacterium
Lineage: Bacteria
Description: partial 16S ribosomal RNA
Rfam family: Bacterial small subunit ribosomal RNA
Source: RNAcentral
GACGAACGCUGGCGGCGUGCCUAAUACAUGCAAGUAGAACGCUGAAGGAGGAGCUUGCUCUUCUGGAUGAGUUGCGAACGGGUGAGUAACGCGUAGGUAACCUGCCUGGUAGCGGGGGAUAACUAUUGGAAACGAUAGCUAAUACCGCAUAACAGUAGAUGUUGCAUGACAUUUACUUAAAAGGUGCAAUUGCAUCACUACCAGAUGGACCUGCGUUGUAUUAGCUAGUUGGUGGGGUAACGGCUCACCAAGGCGACGAUACAUAGCCGACCUGAGAGGGUGAUCGGCCACACUGGGACUGAGACACGGCACAGACUCCUACGGGAGGCAGCAGUAGGGAAUCUUCGGCAAUGGACGGAAGUCUGACCGAGCAACGCCGCGUGAGUGAAGAAGGUUUUCGGAUCGUAAAGCUCUGUUGUAAGAGAAGAACGAGUGUGAGAGUGGAAAGUUCACACUGUGACGGUAUCUUACCAGAAAGGGACGGCUAACUACGUG